AGUGGACAAACCGGUAAAGUUUGAACUCUUUAUGGUGGUUGGUGCGCCUGUUUGGGAAAAAAUCACAUGAUAAAUAUUCAGGUACAGGUUCUAACUGAUUUGGGUGCAACAUGUGAGAAAUGUUAUAAUAAACAAUUUGGUAAAGGGAAAGUAGAAAACAUCUCAACAAUGAAGUAAUGUGGAGAAGUUAAAUUACAUACUGACACAAUAAAGAGUAGUUUGAACUAUCCGUAUGUAUUUUUAACUUAAUUGAAUUUAUUUGCAUUAUGGCUGUUAAAUAAUUACAGCAUUCAAAAUUUUCUAUCA
Molecule: long non-coding RNA, 306 nt
Organism: Xenia sp. Carnegie-2017
Lineage: Eukaryota; Metazoa; Cnidaria; Anthozoa; Malacalcyonacea; Xeniidae
Exons: 2
Source: RefSeq, a predicted model, not a curated record